RNAcentral lists this ribosomal RNA (440 nucleotides) under uncultured bacterium. RNAcentral's name for it is "partial 16S ribosomal RNA". It matches the Rfam family "Bacterial small subunit ribosomal RNA", at positions 338 to 795 of the family's 1533-position model. The record is from RNAcentral.
CCUACGGGUGGCAGCAGUGGGGAAUAUUGCACAAUGGGGGAAACCCUGAUGCAGCGACGCCGCGUGAGUGAAGACGUAAUUCGUUACGUAAAGCUCUAUCAGCCGGGAAGAAAAUGACGGUACCUGAGCAAGAAGCCCCGGCUAACUACGUGCCAGCAGCCGCGGUAAUCCGUAGGGGGCAAGCGUUAUCCGGAUUUACUGGGUGUAAAGGGGGCGUAGACGGUGCGCCAAGUCCGGAGUGAAAUGCCGCAGCUUAACUGCGGAACUGCUUUGGAAACUGGCGAACUAGAGUGCGGGAGGGGUAAGCGGAAUGCGUAGUGUAGCGGUGAAAUGCGUAGAUAUUAGGAGGAACACCGGUGGCGAAGGCGGCUUACUGGACCGUAACUGACGUUGAGGCUCGAAAGCGUGGGUAGCAAACAGGAUUAGAUACCCCUGUAGUC